This 62-nucleotide transfer RNA is filed under the name Mystilus priamus. RNAcentral's name for it is "tRNA-Ala". It matches the Rfam family "tRNA". Rfam says of the family: Transfer RNA (tRNA) molecules are approximately 80 nucleotides in length. Their secondary structure includes four short double-helical elements and three loops (D, anti-codon, and T loops). Lineage: Eukaryota; Metazoa; Arthropoda; Insecta; Hemiptera; Miridae. The record is from RNAcentral.
GGGAGGAUAGUUAAAUAUAACAUUUAAAUUGCAAUUAAAAAGUAUCAGUAUGAUUUCUCUCA